CACAAUGUAGUCUUUUAAGAGUCAAGCUUAGGGGGAGAUUUUCUCUCUUAUUAGUUUUAUGUUUUUUUAAUAUUAGGUUUUAUAUGUAGGCCAAUUGGUCAAAUCAUAUAAUAAUUAUGUUUUUAGUAUUGUUUUCUUUGUCAUCUGAAUUAUCACCAUGAUAGUUUGCAACUAAUAGUUUUUGCAUGACGCUCUCUCGCUUUCGAACCCAACAAGUGGUAUCAGAGCUUAUGAUUCAAUGGUCCGAUGGUGUGGUGAGACGAGAUUAAACAGGUUCAAAGCGGUUUUAAAAUCAAGCUGCAACAAUUUGGAUGAUAAUGAAGAUUUUUGUAGAACUACAUGUGGAGAACAAGUUUCAACCAUAUUUUCAAUACACCUGCUGCUGCAUCUUUAAAAAUGAAAAUAAAAUAUUACUUUUAAAUCAAUUUUUAACCAUGAUAUUUUAAACCUUAUAAUUUUUAACCAUGGCAAGCAGCAGUUAUGAAGAUUAUAUCAAGAACGAAGUUCAUGCACGUGAUAUGAAGAGAAGACGGAUCAAGUGAAGAAAAUCAAGCAAAAAAGGGGAGAUUUAUUAGGGUUUUUGCCCUGAUUUUCUUACUAUAUUUAAGUUUUAUUUUUUCUUAGAAGGAAAAUAAAAGUUACCAUAAUUACUUUUACAUUUCCUGAAAGGAAAAAAUAUAAUUCUUUUUCAUAUUUGGCUAACCUCUUUCUUGGAGGAAAGGUUUUGGACAUCUAUAAAUAGAAGACCCCCUUCUCAUACCAUAACACAAGAGCAUCCACAAUGUAGUCUUUUAAGAGUCACGC
RNAcentral lists this long non-coding RNA (804 nucleotides) under Capsicum annuum. Its description in RNAcentral is "long non-coding RNA (CANN_LNC017999)". Lineage: Eukaryota; Viridiplantae; Streptophyta; Magnoliopsida; Solanales; Solanaceae. The record is from RNAcentral.